GAUGAACGCUGGCGGCGUGCCUAAUACAUGCAAGUCGAACGCUGGAAAUCUAGCUUGCUAGAUUGAAGGAGUGGCGAACGGGUGAGUAAUACAUAAGCAACCUACCCACGAAGACUGGGAUAAUCUCUGGAAACGGGGACUAAUACCGGAUAGGUAAUCGGAAGGCAUCUUCUGAUUAUUAAAGGUUAAAAACACUGGUGGAUGGGCUUAUGGCGCAUUAGUUAGUUGGUGAGGUAACGGCCCACCAAGACGAUGAUGCGUAGCCGGCCUGAGAGGGUGAAAGGCCACAUUGGGACUGAGACACGGCCCAGACUCGUACGGGAGGCAGCAGUAGGGAAUUUUCGGCAAUGGGGGAAACCCUGACCGAGCAACGCCGCGUGAGUGAUGACGGCCUUCGGGUUGUAAAGCUCUGUUGUAAGGGAAGAACGGUAGAUAGAGAAUAUCUAAAUGACGGUACCUUACCAGAAAGCCACGGCUAACUACGUG
This 486-nucleotide ribosomal RNA is filed under the name uncultured bacterium. RNAcentral's name for it is "partial 16S ribosomal RNA". It matches the Rfam family "Bacterial small subunit ribosomal RNA", at positions 28 to 507 of the family's 1533-position model. The record is from RNAcentral.